RNAcentral lists this ribosomal RNA (423 nucleotides) under Verrucomicrobiota bacterium. Its description in RNAcentral is "Verrucomicrobia bacterium partial 16S ribosomal RNA". It matches the Rfam family "Bacterial small subunit ribosomal RNA", at positions 355 to 776 of the family's 1533-position model. The record is from RNAcentral. Lineage: Bacteria; Pseudomonadati; Verrucomicrobiota.
UGAGGAAUAUUGGUCAAUGGACGCAAGUCUGAACCAGCCAAGUAGCGUGCAGGAUGACGGCCCUAUGGGUUGUAAACUGCUUUUAUAUGGGGAUAAAGUGGGGAACGUGUUCCCUUUUGCAGGUACCAUAUGAAUAAGGACCGGCUAAUUCCGUGCCAGCAGCCGCGGUAAUACGGAAGGUUCGGGCGUUAUCCGGAUUUAUUGGGCGUAAAGGGUACGUAGGCGGGUAAGCAAGUUAGAAGUGAAAUCCUGUAGCUCAACUACAGUAAGCUUUUAAAACUGCUCAUCUUGAGAUAUGGAAGGGAAAGUGGAAUUCCUAGUGUAGCGGUGAAAUGCGCAGAUAUUAGGAGGAAUACCGGUGGCGAAGGCGACUUUCUGGCCAUAAUCUGACGCUGAGGUACGAAAGCGUGGGUAGCAAACAGG